RNAcentral lists this non-coding RNA (28 nucleotides) under Bombyx mori (domestic silkworm). The record is from RNAcentral. Lineage: Eukaryota; Metazoa; Arthropoda; Insecta; Lepidoptera; Bombycidae.
UAGACGUAAUACAACACCUGGUAUGGAU